GUAGGGAAUAUUGCGCAAUGGACGAAAGUCUGACGCAGCGACGCCGCGUGAGUGAUGAAGGCCUUAGGGUCGUAAAGCUCUGUUGAAUGGGAAGAAAAAAAUGACGGUACCAUUCGAGGAAGGACCGGCUAACUUCGUGCCAGCAGCCGCGGUAAUACGAGGGGUCCUAGCGUUGUUCGGAAUCAUUGGGCGUAAAGGGUGUGUAGGUGGCCAUGUAAGUCAGGUGUGAAAGCCCCGGGCUCAACCCGGGAAGUGCACUAGAUACUGCGUGGCUUGAGUACCGAAGAGGGUAGUGGAAUUCCAGGUGUAGUGGUGAAAUACGUAGAUAUCUGGAGGAACACCGGUGGCGAAGGCGGCUACCUGGUCGAGUACUGACACUAAGACACGAAAGCAUGGGGAUCAAACAGGAUUAGAAACCCCAGUAGUCC
Molecule: ribosomal RNA, 428 nt
Filed under: uncultured bacterium
Lineage: Bacteria
Description: partial 16S ribosomal RNA
Rfam family: Bacterial small subunit ribosomal RNA
Source: RNAcentral